Molecule: ribosomal RNA, 274 nt
Filed under: uncultured bacterium
Lineage: Bacteria
Description: partial 16S ribosomal RNA
Rfam family: Bacterial small subunit ribosomal RNA
Source: RNAcentral
AUACGGAGGGUGCGAGCGUUAUCCGGAUUUAUUAGGUUUAAAGGGUGUGUAGGCGGGAGCCUAAGUCAGUGGUGAAAUCUCACAGCUUAACUGUGAAACUGCCAUUGAAACUGGGUUUCUUGAGUAUAGUUGAGGUAGGCGGAAUGUGUAAUGUAGCGGUGAAAUGCAUAGAUAUUACACAGAACACCGAUUGCGAAGGCAGCUUACUAAUCUAUUACUGACGCUGAUGCACGAAAGCGUGGGUAGCGAACAGGAUUAGAAACCCGAGUAGUCC